RNAcentral lists this ribosomal RNA (253 nucleotides) under uncultured bacterium. RNAcentral describes it as "partial 16S ribosomal RNA". It matches the Rfam family "Bacterial small subunit ribosomal RNA", at positions 524 to 776 of the family's 1533-position model. The record is from RNAcentral.
UACGGGGGGGGCAAGCGUUGUUCGGAAUUACUGGGCGUAAAGGGCUCGUAGGUUGCCAACUAAGUCAGACGUGAAAUCCCUCGGCUUAACCGGGGAACUGCGUCUGAUACUGGAUGGCUUGAGUUCGGGAGAGGGAUGCGGAAUUCCAGGUGUAGCGGUGAAAUGCGUAGAUAUCUGGAGGAACACCGGUGGCGAAGGCGGCAUCCUGGACCGGUAUUGACGCUGAGGCGCGAAAGCCAGGGGAGCAAACGGG